CCUCAUGAUUUAGAGGAAGGUGAAGUCGUAACAAGGUUUCCGUAGGUGAACCUGCGGAAGGAUCAUUACCGAAGAAUGGGUUA
Molecule: ribosomal RNA, 83 nt
Filed under: Ectocarpus crouaniorum
Lineage: Eukaryota; Phaeophyceae; Ectocarpales; Ectocarpaceae
Description: partial 18S ribosomal RNA
Rfam family: Eukaryotic small subunit ribosomal RNA (bases 1-68)
Source: RNAcentral